This 733-nucleotide ribosomal RNA is filed under the name Acinetobacter baumannii. RNAcentral's name for it is "bacterial SSU rRNA". It matches the Rfam family "Bacterial small subunit ribosomal RNA", at positions 20 to 748 of the family's 1533-position model. Lineage: Bacteria; Pseudomonadati; Pseudomonadota; Gammaproteobacteria; Moraxellales; Moraxellaceae. The record is from RNAcentral.
CUGCUCAGAUUGAACGCUGGCGGCAGGCUUAACACUGCAAGUCGAGCGGGGGAAGGUAGCUUGCUACUGGACCUAGCGGCGGACGGGUGAGUAAUGCUUAGGAAUCUGCCUCUUAGUGGGGGACAACAUCUCGAAAGGGAUGCUAAUACCGCAUACGUCCUACGGGAGAAAGCAGGGGAUCUUCGGACCUUGCGCUAAUAGAUGAGCCUAAGUCGGAUUAGCUAGUUGGUGGGGUAAAGGCCUACCAAGGCGACGAUCUGUAGCGGGUCUGAGAGGAUGAUCCGCCACACUGGGACUGAGACACGGCCCAGAUUCCUACGGGAGGCAGCAGUGGGGAAUAUUGGACAAUGGGGGGAACCCUGAUCCAGCCAUGCCGCGUGUGUGAAGAAGGCCUUAUGGUUGUAAAGCACUUUAAGCGAGGAGGAGGCUACUCUAGUUAAUACCUAGGGAUAGUGGACGUUACUCGCAGAAUAAGCACCGGCUAACUCUGUGCCAGCAGCCGCGGUAAUACAGAGGGUGCGAGCGUUAAUCGGAUUUACUGGGCGUAAAGCGUGCGUAGGCGGCUUAUUAAGUCGGAUGUGAAAUCCCCGAGCUUAACUUGGGAAUUGCAUUCGAUACUGGUGAGCUAGAGUAUGGGAGAGGAUGGUAGAAUUCCAGGUGUAGCGGUGAAAUGCGUAGAGAUCUGGAGGAAUACCGAUGGCGAAGGCAGCCAUCUGGCCUAAUACUGACGCUG